Non-coding RNA from Paramuricea clavata, 122 nucleotides. The record is from the annotation of a GenBank genome assembly. Lineage: Eukaryota; Metazoa; Cnidaria; Anthozoa; Malacalcyonacea; Plexauridae.
GAUCGAACGAUAACAAGAGUUGCAUGAGAGUUGACAAGCGAGAGUUUACAUGAGAGUUUUCUCAACUUUCAUGAAAAUUCUCACUUGUCAACUCUCAUUACAAUUAUUGUUCUCAUUCGAUC